CCUACGGGAGGCAGCAGUAGGGAAUAUUGCUCAAUGGGGGAAACCCUGAACCAGCAACGCCGCGUGGAGGAUGAAGGUUUUCGGAUUGUAAACUCCUUUUGUUAGAGAAGAUAAUGACGGUAUCUAACGAAUAAGCACCGGCUAACUCCGUGCCAGCAGCCGCGGUAAUACGGCGGGUGCCAGGGUGACUCGGAAUCACUGGGCGUAAAGCGCGCGUAGGCGGGAUAGCAAGUCAGAUGUGAAAUCCUAUGGCUUAACCAGAGAACUGCAUUUUAAACUGUUAUUCUAGAGUAUGGGAGAGGUAGGUGGAAUUCGUGGUGUAGGGGUAAAAUCCGUAGAGAUCAAGAGGAAUACUCAUUGCGAAGGCGACCUGCGAGAACAUAACUGACGCUGAUGCGCGAAAGCGUGGGUAGCAAACAGGAUUAGAUACCCGAGUAGUC
This 440-nucleotide ribosomal RNA is filed under the name uncultured bacterium. Its description in RNAcentral is "partial 16S ribosomal RNA". It matches the Rfam family "Bacterial small subunit ribosomal RNA", at positions 338 to 795 of the family's 1533-position model. The record is from RNAcentral.